This 486-nucleotide ribosomal RNA is filed under the name uncultured bacterium. RNAcentral describes it as "bacterial SSU rRNA". It matches the Rfam family "Bacterial small subunit ribosomal RNA", at positions 202 to 710 of the family's 1533-position model. The record is from RNAcentral.
GGAGUGAUCCGCUUUGAGAUGGCCUCGCGUCCGAUUAGCUAGUUGGUGAGGUAACGGCCCACCAAGGCGACGAUCGGUAGCCGGACUGAGAGGUUGAACGGCCACAUUGGGACUGAGACACGGCCCAGACUCCUACGGGAGGCAGCAGUGGGGAAUAUUGCACAAUGGAGGAAACCCUGAUGCAGCGACGCCGCGUGGAGGAAGAAGGUCUUCGGAUUGUAAACUCCUGUUGUUGGGGAAGAUAAUGACGGUACCCAACAAGGAAGUGACGGCUAACUACGUGCCAGCAGCCGCGGUAAAACGUAGGUCACAAGCGUUGUCCGGAAUUACUGGGUGUAAAGGGAGCGCAGGCGGGAAGACAAGUUGGAAGUGAAAUCCAUGGGCUCAACCCAUGAGCUGCUUUCAAAACUGUUUUUCUUGAGUAGUGCAGAGGUAGGCGGAAUUCCCGGUGUAGCGGUGGAAUGCGUAGAUAUCGGGAGGAACACC